Molecule: ribosomal RNA, 447 nt
Filed under: uncultured bacterium
Lineage: Bacteria
Description: partial 16S ribosomal RNA
Rfam family: Bacterial small subunit ribosomal RNA
Source: RNAcentral
ACCAGACUCCUACGGGAGGCAGCAGUGGGGGAUAUUGCACAAUGGGGGGAACCCUGAUGCAGCGACGCCGCGUGGGUGAAGAAGCGCCUCGGCGCGUAAAGCCCUGUCAGCAGGGAAGAAAAUGACGGUACCUGAAGAAGAAGCCCCGGCUAACUACGUGCCAGCAGCCGCGGUAAUACGUAGGGGGCAAGCGUUAUCCGGAUUUACUGGGUGUAAAGGGGGCGCAGACGGCGAUGCAAGCCAGGAGUGAAAGCCCGGGGCCCAACCCCGGGACUGCUCUUGGAACUGCGUGGCUGGAGUGCAGGAGGGGCAGGCGGAAUUCCUGGUGUAGCGGUGAAAUGCGUAGAUAUCAGGAGGAACACCGGUGGCGAAGGCGGCCUGCUGGACUGCAACUGACGUUGAGGCCCGAAAGCGUGGGGAGCAAACAGGAUUAGAUACCCCCGUACG